GGGAGAAGCAGGCUGAAGAGCCUUUGACAAGAGUCCGCCGGCCAAGCUCACCUUUAGGAGUCGCAGGACACCAGAGCCCAGCGUGUCCUGCAUUGGCCGGAGAAGUGGACACGUGUCCGGUGGACAGCCCCUGUUCCUUCACAUCCAGCAGCGAUGUUGAACAAGCUAGCCUGGGGUCCAUGGAUGAAGAAGACCUCGAAAUAUAUUUUUCCUGUGUCAGUGACACUGAACAGGAGGAGCAGGCUGAAGAGCCCUUGGCAAGAGUCCGCCAGCCAGGCUCACCUUUAGGUGUCACGGGUCACCAGAGCCCAAAGUGUCCUGCAUUGGCCGGAGAAGUGGACACAUGUCCAGUGGACAGCCUCUGUUCCUGCACAUCCAGCAGUGAUGUCGAACAAGCUAGCCUGGGGUCCAUGGAUGAAGAAGACCUCGAAAUAUAUAUUUCCUGUGUCAGUGACACCGAACAGGAGGAGCAGGCUGAAGAGCCCUCGACAGGAGUCCGCCAGCCAGGCUCACCUUUAGGUGUCACGGGUCACCAGAGCUCAAAGUGUCCUGCAUUGGCCAGAGAAGUGGACACGUGUCCGGUGGACAGCCUCUGUUCCUCCACAUCCAGCAGUGAUGUUGAACAAGCUAGCCUGGGGUCCACAGAUGAAGAAGACCCAGAGAUACAUUCUUCCUGUGUCAGUGACACCGAAGAGGAGGAGCUGGCUGAAGAGCCCUCGGCAAGAGUCCACCGGCCAGGCUCACCUUUGGGUGUUGCAGGUCACCAGAGCCUGGAGAAGAAGGAUGAGGAAGACUCGCUUUCUUCACAUCUGGCGGCUGUUUUGGCUUUGACAUCACAGCCUAGUGCUCCAAAUAAUAGAUUCCUGGAGGCCUUAAACUAUGUGGUCUCGAGAAGCAGAAUAGAAAGUGGGAGAACCGUUACAUCUGAUGAACUGGCCUGUUAUGGGCUCCCCAAUCUGUCCCAGACCUGUUUUAUGAACUCUGUUCUCCAGAGCCUCCUGACCCCCAUGCCUUUUGUGAAGGAGCUCAAGAAACAGAGUCAUCAGUGGCGUUCACACCCAAAAGCUCUGCUUUUCAAGUACAGCACAAGCUCACGUGCCCCCAUUAUUCUAUGGCAUUAAUGCAAUGAAUGAAAAACAUCUGCUUUCUCCUUUUUCCAGGUUGCUCACAGAUAUAAACAACUGCUUCACAACAAAAAACAGCAUGCAGAAGAAAUCCACCCUCUUCACCUUCCUGCGCACCAUUGCCCUGCGUCAUCCAGACUUUAUAAAAGAUGAGCA
Molecule: long non-coding RNA, 1280 nt
Filed under: Takifugu rubripes (torafugu)
Lineage: Eukaryota; Metazoa; Chordata; Actinopteri; Tetraodontiformes; Tetraodontidae
Description: lncRNA (ENSTRUG00000033339.1)
Source: RNAcentral